UUCUUUUAGUUUGUGUGCUCCAUUGAGAUUGACGUUAAGAAAAGAAAGUAAUUAAAAAAUGGGAUUUUGCGUACCCGGAUGCAAGAUUUCGUAGAAUUAGUCUGUAGCCCUAUAAAACCUUUGACAUUCUUGUGGUUAUCAAAAAAAAAAAAAGUAACUAAUCAACCGAUCGACCGGAAUGUCAUCAGUUAUGAGUUGAUAUCACACCUUAGUGGCGGAUCUAGAAAAUAUAACGAGUGGGGACAAAAACAAUAAAAUAGGUAUUUGGUUAUUUGAACAUUGGUUGGGUGGGUGCAAAUAGAAGAUUUUAAACCAAUUAUGCUGCAAAAUAUUAUAAAUUCUGGUACAUUCAAAUUUAGUUGUAUUUUUUUUCUGGGGGCAGCUGCACCCUUCUUACACUACCUAGGUUCGCCACUAUGACACCUUUGGAUACCGAGGAUCUAAAUUAUAGGUGAGUUUGUCACGUGACUCACGUCUUAUCACUACAUGGCAUGUAGUUAUGCGCAUGCAAAUGUGAUGG
This 520-nucleotide long non-coding RNA is filed under the name Brassica napus (rape). RNAcentral's name for it is "long non-coding RNA (BNAP_LNC023843)". Lineage: Eukaryota; Viridiplantae; Streptophyta; Magnoliopsida; Brassicales; Brassicaceae. The record is from RNAcentral.